RNAcentral lists this long non-coding RNA (1310 nucleotides) under Sus scrofa (pig). RNAcentral's name for it is "lncRNA (ENSSSCG00025010086.1)". Lineage: Eukaryota; Metazoa; Chordata; Mammalia; Artiodactyla; Suidae. The record is from RNAcentral.
GCUCAGUGGUUAGCGAAUCUGACUAGUAACCAUGAGGCUGCAGGUUCAAUCCCUGGCCUCGCUCAGUGGGUUAAGGAUCCGGUGUUGCCGUGAGCUAUGGUGGAGGUCACAGAUGCGUCUCGGAUCUGGCGUGGCUGUAGCUGUGGUGUGGGCAGGCAACUGCAGCUCCAAUUAGACUCCUAGCCUGGGAACCUCCAUAUGCUGCAGGUGCGGCCCUAGAAAAGACAAGACAAAAAAAAAAAAAAAAAUUGGGGCUUUACUGUUUUUUGGAAACCAGAAUGCUUUCUCUUUAAUGGGGGUGGGGAAAGUCUCCAUUUUAGCACGUGACACCAAGGCCCUUCCUCAGAGAGACGAUCAGAGCUCACUCUUGAGAGAGCUUAUUACCCACAAACCAGCCACACAUAAGACACAGGAGGAGAAUUCCAAAACUAAGGAAGAGGGUAAUGACGGGCUUCCUGCCAACGGUGUACAGACUGGAAUGAGCCUCGGAGAUGCUGUGCUGCAAGCCAACACUGGCAGGUCCAGUGACCAGGUAAGCCUUUGUGGGGGCUGGAGCAGAGCAGGAUGGAGGAGCCCUGCCACAGUUUAGAAAAGUACCUGGGGAGUUCCUGUCAUGGCUCAGCAGAAAUGAAUUUGACUAGUAUCCGUGCGGACGCAGGUUCGAUCCCUGGCCUCGCUCCGUGAGUUAAGGAUCUGGCGUUGCUGUGAGCUGUGGUGUAGGCUGCAGAUGUAGCUUGGAUCUGGCAUUGCUGUGGCUGUGGUGUAGGCCGAUGGCUACAGCUCCUAUUCCACCCCUAGCCUGGGAACUUCCAUAUGCCUUGGGUGCACCCCCACCCCCCAGAAAGAAAAGCACCUGGCAGUAAAAAUACUGGCACAAACACAAUUAUUGCCUGUACCAUUUCUGUGUGACUCUUGGAACGCAGCAGUUCCCCAAAAAGGUUAGACCCAGAUCAAAAGGAAGGGAGCGGAAAGGGGAAGAAACCUUCACCGAGGGUUUCUGGCCACACUUCAGACCAGCAGUUCGUCCUCCUACCAAGAACCCUCUCUCUCCAACUCGGGUGUUCACGAGCUUCAGGACACCAGCAUUCUCUUUCCUCUCACUAAUGAACUGUAUCGAGAGCAAACCUCUAACAACAAUCAUUGAAAAGGAAAGUGAUAUUCAAUUUUAAAACACUUCUAAUUAAAUCUGCAUUUUUUGGACAGUUUUAUUGACAUUACACAACAAUUCCUGCUCAGCUCACUGAAAUACGUGCCUCUCUUUAGAGGAUACACCUUUCGAGAGGGAGUAUUCCAAGUCUGCUUUAAAAAAA